This is a long non-coding RNA of Solea senegalensis (Senegalese sole), 4216 nucleotides long. RefSeq lists it as uncharacterized. NCBI's taxonomy places the organism in Eukaryota, Metazoa, Chordata, Actinopteri, Pleuronectiformes, Soleidae. The transcript is spliced from 2 exons. The record is from RefSeq and is a predicted model, not a curated record.
CUGAGCUCAUCAGCAGAAACACUUCAUGUUGAAUUUACAACAUUAAUAGUAGGAGGUUUGCCACCUUCUUGUUUUAAUAAGGAAGAACAAGAAGGAGAAGAAGAAGAAGAAGAAGAAGAAGCCUUAUGGUACCAACCUAAAUUGGUAGAAUUAAGGAAGUUUUUAGUUCCUCUGCUAAUUCAGAGAUAUAUAGAAAGCCUGCAUUUUUCAACCACCUUUGGCAAUUUGCUUCCAGCAGUUCAGCAACUCCCUCGUGGACACCUUUACAAGUCAACGCUGCGCGCUGUACUGUGGGCGACGGUAAGACUGGAGUAGAUUUGUUCUCGGAGUGAAACUGUGGGCGUUUCCUGACUCUCCUUUCCUUACACGAGCAGCACGCUGAUAUGAGAUGGAGUUAAGAUAGACAUUGUGUUUGUGUUUGUCUGUGUUUACUUUAAUAUUUCCAGAGCUGUGUUUUCAGAUAGAUAGAUAGAUUCAUUCAGUUUUGUAACUCACAUUUUUGAAUUGUAUAUUUUUGACUAACAACCAGUUUGUUUUAACAUAAAAUACACAAUGAGAAGAGAAGUUUAAGUUAAUACAGGUGUUUAUUCAUUCACUAAACUUUUCUAUAAAGUGCCUUUUUUAUAAAAAAUGUGUUUAGUUCAUUGCCAUACACAUUUAAAGCAAGUUAUAUUUAGACUAAUAGUCCACCUUGUUUCAAAAAAUAUAAUUUUUUUUUUAAGCUUUUUUACUGAAUUACUCAACUCCCUCAGAAGAAAAUGGUGACAAUUACGAAAUUUGAAUACUGCCACAGCAGGAGUUACAGAGUGUGGACAUCAACCUGCAGUCAUUCUGGCCAAACUGAUGUUCUGCAGAGGAGGAGUGCAACACUUCCUGUUGCGACGUACCCUGUAUCCUGUUUUCCACAGUCAGUGGUCAUGCGUGUCAUUCCCCUCUGCAUGCUAGGCUGAUGUGUGGGCACAAUCUUGUGACCCUGCAAACGCAAAAAAAAACCCCUUAAACUUCAUCAAGUUCUGUUGACAAAGGACGACAUAUUUAGUCUACUUUGCUUAAGUUGAUGUGGACAAACGCCAUAAUUACAGCGUACACAGUUUUAGCACCUUAGCACAGCCGCUUAAAAUAAGUGCAUGCUACGAUGGUGACGAGAACAUUAACACCUCCAAACAGCAGGGCCAAAGUUCUCAGGGCCAAGCUCUGUGACUGUGGUGAGACCGUACAUGAGCUUAAACCAGCAGAGAUCCUGUGACUGUGUUCAGACGUGUUCAGUUACACCCUGUGGUGGGAGCAAACCAUGCAGAGGAACUUUGCAGCGUGUCGUUUACACUCGAAAACAAAUAUAUAGAUGGUGUUUUAGAGAGUAAAAGUAGCUUGGUCUGUAAAUACUGGAUUCAAGUUCAUGUAAUGAGGGGAGAAAAAAAUCCAGAUCCUUUAAAGUAAGGGUCUUCAACAUUUUUCAGGCUAAUGCUAAGCUAUUCAAACACUACACAGGUUCAUAUAUUCAUGUUUUUAUGAGCAAUAUAAUUUUAAUUAAAACAUUUUGUGACCCGCCCCCGCAGUACCUCUAUGGACCCUAGCUUAGCUAGCAGUAUUUAGCUUAGCUCAAAUACUGUGGGCUCUGUCUUCCAUGUCACACAGCGCAGUGCAAUUGUCGCUAAUGUCCAACCGGACAGAGGAUCAGUAGAAGACCACGUACAGACCAUGUGUGAGGCAGUAUCUGGUGCUGUAGUUCGGUUUGUUCGGCCUUGUUCAGACUGCAGCACAAAUCAGAUUUUUAAGCAAAUCCAGAUUGUAGCUGAACAGCUAAAAAAACCCACAUAAGACCCAAUCUAUCCAAAGCUGAUUCAAACCACAUACGGAGGUGGUUUUUGUAAUAACUGUUUCACUGCUGAUUUCAGCAGAAAUUCGAAAUAAUCAGCAAAGUCAGUGCCAACUAUAGAUAUAUAUGAAUGUAGCAUAGCAUAGCAAUGAUUUGUAUCUCAGCUGCAGAUCACGUGCGACUGUUUGCUCCUGUCUGGUGCACUGGGCUUUUAAAGGGAAUGACAAGUAAAGUUCUGAUUGGUUUGAUUGAUGUUACCCCGGAAACACACCUAUAAAUACCAAAAACAACCCCUUUGAAGAUGGAAACACCCUUAGACCUUAUAGGGUGCUGGAUCUUAAAGAAUGUGAUCAGAGCGCCACAACACGUGGAAAAACACUGGAAAAAACAAGACACGGCACGUGAUCUAUCAUGGGUAAUGUUUUGGGUUUUUUGUAAUGUUGCAAUCAGUUACAGUCUGUUACACUUUUAGCCAUCUCUUCUUAAAGCAACACAAUGUGUAACAUAUUAAGUAAAGUCAAAUUUUCUCAUUCUUUGAGCGGUGUUAUGGUGCUGACCCCAAAUGCUCCAUAGUGCCGGUGCAGGUGAUGUAGACCUGCACAGGCUUUGCCACUCACCCUGAUAUUGGAGUUAUUUGUUUAUCUAUUUAUUUAUUUAUUUAUGAACACUGUUCUUUGCUUAAAAUGAUACAUUUAUGCCUUGGUAAUGUCUCAUUUCUGUUGUUUUGUGCAUUUUGAUGCCAGAUAAGAUGUGAUGUGACCAAAAAAAACCCAACAAAAACCUUCUGUGGACAUUAUUUUUGGUGCACAGACAGCAAAAGUCUUAUCUGCAUCUGCAUCUCCAUGUGCUAACUGUAGUUUCUAAUGUCUUACACAACAGUAACCAUUAUUAUAUUUUGGUUGCACUUUCCCACACAGGAUGAUGCGUGUGCAGCUUCAACUGCAUGUGCGCGUCGGCACCUGGAACCGGUGGAUCCAGGAAAUUUCAACAGGCCAGACUGCAUCAUGUAGGAAAGCAACAGUGGUUGCACAAAGAUUUAAGGUUAAACAGUUACGGUGGAAAUCAACCAUUAGGCCAUAACGUCUCACAAAAACAGUGCAAAAACAAGCAGCUCUUGUCAAGGCCUGGAUUAUCCUGACCAUAUGACACGAAAUGGAUUCAUUUAAAGGCAACCUUCAAGGAACUGAAUCUGAAAGACAAGUAACUAGUUCCUCAUUUGACGAUAUGUCACUCUUUGGUGUGCAUGAUGCACGUACUUCAUGCUUUAGGUCACAAGGAAGACGGAAAUACGGAGACAAGGGUUCUGUGAAUUAUAAGCAGACUUUAGGUCACAAACAAAAGCAGAGAGACGUGGAUCUGAUAAGCAGUAGAAACCUGUAUUUCUGGUGAUUUAAGUGACAGCCGAUGUGAACGCAGUUUGGUUUAAAUGCACUUUUCAAAUAAGGUUGGAAUGCAUCUUGUGGUGGUUUUACUGGAUUUCCAAAAAUAGUUGGCAGAAAUAGGGACAGUACACACUAAUGCACAAAUGCGGCAAUAUAUGUAAAUAUGUCAGAUUAUAGCUCAAGGCUAGUUUCUACCUGCAGUCUCUUGGCAGGUUGGUGGAACAUUAAAAAAAAGACACUUAACACAGAGAUAACAAACAAAGACAGAGCAACUGUAGAAAGAUAAAAAUCACAUGGCCCUGCGAUGGACUGGCAAUCUGUCCAGGAUGUGCCGACUAUCGUCCUAUGUCAGCACCCCCCAGCGACCCCGCCGUGGAGGAUAAAGCGGUAGAAAAUGGAUGGGUGGAUGGAGGUGGAGCCAGUCCAUGCAGGAUUUUAUACAUCAGGCAGGCAGUUUUAUUUUAGGAGGUUAUAUCUAUAAGUAGAAUAUUACAGAAUAUUGUGUAAAGGUUUUCUUUUUUAUCUAAUGUUUUCAGUGCUUUUUUAGAAAGUGAUUUGAUUGGUUUGAGGGUCGCCACUCCUGCCAAUGACCAGCUUGUAAAACAAUAGCUCAACAAUAGCUUUCAUUUAAGAUUAAAUGAAUGGCUAACAACAGGCAUUUCCUGUCCUUUGCAAUGUAUGUACUUGUCUGCAGCUUCAUGGAGAGAACACCUCCAGUCUCACUUUCAUCAUGUUAGUAAAAUAAUAUUCAAAAUAAUAAUAAGACAAAAUUACGAGUUAAAUGAUGUUAAUUUGUGUAAUUAAUUAGGGUUAUCAUGGGAUGAAAAUAGCACAGAAAAGUUUGGGCGGUCUACUGCUUUUAGGCAUUCUUUGCACUCAUCUCUUCAUGAUUAUUAUUAUUAUCAUUACCUCUGUAUGAAUGUUCUGUCUGUUUGUCGAUGAUCACCUGUAUCAAUAAAAAUGUAUACAAUCACCAGUGUUGAUGCGGUUGACCCGCAUCAUUUCAACUAAUUUGAAA